CGCUCGCGGCCCGUUACCUCAGUCGCUGACCGUUCAAACCGGCCCCGCCCGCCUCGCCCGGGAUCUGACGUUGCGCGCACACCGGCGCGCUGGCGUCACUUCAAGGCGCGUGGAAGGGGAGGGGGGGACGUUGCCGCCGAGAGCCUUCCGCAGGAGCCGCCGGGAGAGGAGUGGGCGGGGCCUGCAGGCCUCAUGUCCUGACACUGGGGAUGGGCGGGGCCUUGGAGCAACCAGGGGUGCCCGGCUUGGCAGGAGGCCCCGCCCACUCCUGGGCCGGGCUUUGUGGCUCGCCUCGUCCGUUCGGCCUCCGUCCAGGGGUGGUGCACGUGGUGGCUACUCUGCGCCGGGUCGCAGCCAUGUCAGUUCAUUCCCGUGAAUACGUGUUACAUAGCUCAUCAGCUGCAUAAUAAGGGAUCUAGAGGAGCUCCUCGCUCUAAAUAUAGAAGCUGCAACUCAGUUGCUGAUUGGCCCUGUUUCAGGAGCAAGAACUCUGUUCCACUGUGGAGAAUGAACCUAUCAGAUAUAUGAAGACGAACAGAAAAAACAGGCAGCCUGAAUUUGCUUGUAGAACUGAAGAUGGCAGGUCUGCUACUCAGUCUGGAAAGCAGAAGGCACGUAGGGCUGAUUCCCUUUUCUGAAUGAGAUGCAUUCACAUUUCUGCCCCAGCCACCUGUUCUCCAAGGACAAUCCUUGGGCCCACUGGAUUCCAGGAGGCUCCCAUUCAUUCCUCCAUUGCAACACAUCAAGGGAGCCAUGAACAUAAGAGCGGGGGUGGUUUUUGGUCUAGAUAUUUCAAAGAAGCCAAACCAGCAAAUAUAUAAGGCACCUUCAGUUACUACAACACUGUCUGCCAAUGGACCCAACUACUCAUCUGUAGCAGUGCAAUAAAGCACUCAUCAUGCAAACACAGAUGGGGACUUUUGUGGCUUCCUGAAUUUAGGACUGUGGCCCUCAGUGUCUUCUGGGGCAUCUCUCUUCUAGGUUAUCGGCAUUCGUUCACAGAUAAGAACUCACUGACUCCAGUUCAUCCCUGAGUCUCCUAAAACAGAGGUUCUCAAAAUGUCUUCCUCUGGAGUAAGACCACUUCUGUUAGUAGAACUACUCUGGAAUCAGAGGUUUUGAGAAAUGCAAUGGUGGCACUGAUGAGAGAGGUGAUGCCCGAGUCAAGCAAAAGAUUAAGAGGAAGAGGCGAUGGUGGGGUGGGGGAGGAAAGAUGACAAACCUUCCACCAGUAGUGGCUUGUUCUAACCAGCCAGGAGAUGACAAACAAGAUGCGGCUUCCCCUGUUUCCCAGCAGCUCAACUGCGUCGGUUUCUCCCAUCCCGCCCUGCCCCCCGAGAGCCGCACUGCCUGCAGGCUGGCCAUUCAUCAAGUAGAGCUGUGCGGGCUACAGGCACAAUCGGGUUCCUAGGAAGCAGAAGCACCUAUGCUUCCUUUGACACUCCCCUGGCUCAUCAGGACAAGCCACUGCUGCCUUGCACAUCUUGGUUUGUCUCCGCUCUGUUGAAUUCUCAUAGAUUCCCAAGCAGAUGCUUUUCUGAGCUGGGGCUGCUGUUCCCCACAAAAAUCCCAAGUAGCAGGGAAGCAAUGACUGCAGGGGGGAAUUCGGAACAAACAUAAACUCUCUAAAGUCCUGGGUGGUGCAGUAUCCCCACUACUUAAAUUUAAAUCGCAUGGGUGGCAUGCAUCCUCUGUGACAGAGAGAGAGAGAGAGACAGAUAUGGCUGAAUGACAACACAGGGGUCUGCCCAACCAAACCUACAAAAACAAAGAUGUCCUUUAUUCCCUUAUAGAUGAAUCCUCUUUGCACAAGUCUUGUCAUUUCCAUAGCAAAGACUGUAGCAGAAGGUAACAGCAGUUGAAAAAAAAAAUUCAGCUAACAUUAUGAAUGAAAAUAGCAGCAUCAAAAUGGAUCCAACCUGAAGACUCUCUGCAUGAAAGUCCAUGUGGAGCAAGGCAACAGUCAGUAACGUGUCCUGUAGGCGGAGACUUCUCAGGCCGCUUUCCAGUGGCUUCUCUGGCAAGAGGACUGUGCAAUCUGUAGGAGUCCUCAGAGAAAAAGAAAGUCUUCCUUGCCUGUUUGCAGCAUAAAUGGUAGUAGAGUUCCUUUUUGGCAAAUGUAUCAUUUCCCUUUGCUCGACCCUGAAGGCUAAGAAUCGAACCAGAAUCGAACUUCUCCAUCCAGACUCCUUUGAAACAAGUAGAUCUUGUGCAAAAUGUGACAAAAGAUCUUCCCCAGCUAUUUCUGACCUCAGUAUAUAUGCAACAAGUCUCCAAGUGGAUUAUACAUUAAGUUUCUCUUCUGCAAUAUACUCUUAAAAUAAUUGUGUUCACUUCUCUUUUUUUGGUUUAGUCUAAUUCAGGGGUCUCAAAGGUGUGCCCCCAGAUCUUGCUGGAUUGCAGCUCCCAUCAUCCCCCAGGAACAAUGGUCUUCAGCGGGGGAUGAUGGGUGUUAUAGUCCAACAGCAUCUGGGCAUCCAAGUCUGAGAACCCCUGGUGUCAUUAAAAAGGAUGCCAGGGUGCACAUUGCAGGGCUCCCCACCCCGCUUUUAACUAGUGUGAUUAUCUCACAAUUCUGUUUCAGCAAAUUCCAUACUAGGAAUUUCCAUAUUAUCAUAUGUUGUGGGGGGAAGGGGCGUCUCAUUCCCCCGCCCCCCGCAAGUUUUUUUGAAAUAAAAAAAGUGUUAACAUUUUUUUAAAGGAGAUGUAAGAGAUGCUUCUCCACUUGUGAUUGUUCCAGCAUGUAAAGUGUACGAAGCCCAACAAGGUUGGCUCAUUGCUACUGUUUUGGUUUCUUGGUCCUCAAGAGAUUCUUUUGCUCCUCUCUAUUUCAAGUUUGGGUUGUCUUUUUUCAUCCAGCCUGUCAGAAAACCAUCCUUCAGUCAGGCAGCAACUGAAGGGCACUCUAUGCAAAUAUGGAAUGCUCGAUUCAGGGUGUUCCAGGGCUCCCUCCAACACACAGUGUUUUGCACGAGAGGUAAGCGGGGUGGUGGGGGUAUGUCUUUUGGCCCUUUAGGAAAGUCACUGCUGAUUAAAAAGAAGCUCCCCCUACGGUCUCCUCAUAAAGUUGCUCUUUCCUUCCAGUGCCCAUGGGGAGAACACUUGAAAGAGGGCAAAAUUGCUGGCUCAUGUUGUCCUUCCCUCUCAGGGCAUCUCCAGCAGAGGAGACCUGGGCACCCCACCUGGCUAGUCGCAGGCAAAAUAAUCCUUGAGUGGGGCAAAGAUGUGGCGGAUGACAGGGACGCUCCAUGACCUGCCCAGCAGCUUCUGACGAGCUCCCCGGCCCAUAUUGGAUAAAUCGGUAUAGUGGAGAGGGAAACCAAAGAUCCUGGAAGGAGCAGCAGAGACAGAACCAUGAGCACAGGGUGUUCAAGCCACUCCCUUUUCCUUUGGGUGCCGGUAAGAUACUAGGACUCCCCGGCUGACCACAGGCCCCCCUACCUCCCUGCACAAGGAGCCAAAGGCCAAGGACUGCUUAGCAUGUUCUGUAGGAGAGGAGAGCGAGGAAGCAGGAGCUGAAGCACCCCACUUGGGCGGCAGGCAAAAACUGCAGCUAAGCUGCGCGACAGAAUUGCUGUGGAAGCCCCCUCGCCCCAUUUGGUUCACUCAAGCAGUCUUCUGGAGGAGAGCUGGUCUUGUGGUAGCAAGCAUGGCUUGCCCCCUUUGCUAAGCAGGGUCUGUCCUGGUUUGCAUUUGGAUGGGAGACUGCAUAUGCGAGCACUGUAAAGGAUUGCCCUUAGGGAAUACUUAGGCCACUCUCCAUACUUGCCUCUCCAAGUCAGGACUGAGAGGGACUCCUGCCUGCAACCUUGAAGAAGCCACUUCCAGUCUGUGUAGACAAUACUGAGCUAGAUGGACCAAGGGUCUGACUCGGUAGGAGGCAGCUUCCUAUGUUCCUAAGGGGUUGUAGCUCAGUGAUAGAGUAUCUGCUUUGCAUACAAAAGGUCUUCUCAUCUGCAGAACCCAGUAACUGCAUUAUACGGUGGCUACAGAUGACAGGGGAAGGACCUGAGUGGCAAUGCUUUUUGGUGGGAUGUUAUUGGCAAAAUCUCCACAAGGUGAUUUCCCUCCCACAUGGUGAAAUGAUCUUUUGAAAGUGCCCCCAUAAAGGUACAACCUGCCUUUUGCUAUGCCUUGAAAAAUACUAGGGAAAACGUAUUAAGGCAACCAGUUUUGAGAUAGGACAGGCACCAAGAAAUGAGUUUUACCCUCUUGAUGAAGCAUGUAGUCACCCGUCCAAAUGCAAACCAAGGCAAACCCUGCUCAGCAAAGGGGACAAUUCAUGCUCACUACCACAAGACCGUCACCUUAAGUGGCGCAGCGGGGAAAUGCUUGACUAACAAGCAGAAGGUUGCCGGUUCAAAUCCCUGCUGGUGCUAUAUCAGGCAGCAGUGAUAUAGGAAGAUGCUGAAAGGCAUUGUCUCAUACUGCAUGGGAGGAGGCAAUGGUAAACCCCUCCUGUAUUCUACCAAAGACAACCACAGGGCUCUGUGGGUGCCAGGAGUUGACACUGACUCAACGGCACACUUUGCUUACCACAAGACCAGCUCUCCUCCCCAUAUCAAGUAUUACCAGAUCAACUAUUUUUCACUAAUUAGCACAUCACAUAUUUUUCUGACAUGCUGCCAGGGUCCUGGCCCCCUGACUGCAUCCCCACCACCGCAGACCAGUAGGGAUCCAACCAACUCACCUACGGCACAGCUGUAAGAAGAGGAGCCCAAUGGCCCCACCCCAUCCACACAGGAUGCCCUGCCAAUAAAGCUAGAUGAUGCAUCAGUAUUCCAGUGUGUGCCCAACUGGGUGAGACCAGUUGUCAGGGCAAGAUGUAAGGCUGCAAUGAGGCAGACAGCACAGGCGUCUGCUCAGGAGAGCUGGAUCUGGAUGAGCUCUCAUGAGGCUGAAGGCCUGAAGCUCUUGCAGAGGCCAAAGAUGAAUAGUGAGGAGGAGAAGGGGACAGCAGGCAGCUCUGCCCCUGGAAUAGCAGCCAGCCAAAAGGAGGCAGCACAAGGAAAAGGGGUCCUUGGAACACGGCUGCUGCCCCCCCGCCCCAGGUAUCCAGGGGGGAAACACAGGGGCUUUCUCACACGUAGUAAUUAGAAAUCUCUUUCCCCACAAAAUUAAUUCAGAAAUGUCAUAUCAGAGCUUUUCUACCUCAAACAUUUUAAAUUUUUUAGUUGAUUUUAAAUGUUCGGUUGUUAUUUUAAUGGAUGAUUGUUAUUUCCCAUUUGUCAUUUAAGAAGCUCCAGAAAACCUAUCUAU
Molecule: long non-coding RNA, 5259 nt
Organism: Hemicordylus capensis (graceful crag lizard)
Lineage: Eukaryota; Metazoa; Chordata; Lepidosauria; Squamata; Cordylidae
Exons: 3
Source: RefSeq, a predicted model, not a curated record